UCUUGCUGUGUUGCUCAGGCCGGAGUGCACUGGUGUGGUCCCAGCUCACUGCAGCCUGGAUCUCCCAGACUCAAGCAGUCCGCCCAACUCAGUCUCCUGAGUAGCUGGGCACACAGGCAAGUGUCACCACACCUGGCCUUGCUUCCUUGACUCUUGGUUUGCCCUUUAAAUUCAAUUUAUUUAAGAGGAAGACUUUUCGCUGGAAACAGAAAACCAGCACCACUGCAGCAUUCAUUUCCUAGGGCCACCAUGACAAAUGAUCACAAACAGGGCAGUUUAAAACAAUAGAUAUUUACUCUCCCACAGUUGUGCCGGCCACGGUCUAAAAUCAAGCUGCCAGAGGGGCUGCUCCUCCUGGAGGCUUAGAGGAAGAAGCUGCCUCCUGCCUCUUUCCCGGCUCCGGUGGCUCCGGCACUUGGCGUUCCUCGCCCUGUAUCUGAGCUGAGACCGAGCUGCUGCUGGUAUCUCAGUGACCAGCGAGACCUCAAGCACGGUGGAGUAGGCGGCAGUGCUGGCUUUGGAGUUGCUGACGAGAAACAGGGUCUCACUCUGUCACCCAGGCUGGAGUGCAGUGUUGCCAUCAAAGCUCACUGCAGCCUUGAACUCCCAGGCUCAAGCCAUCCUAUCCCCUCAGCCUCCCGAGCAGCUGGGACUACAGGCGUGUGCCAGCACACCUGCACUAGCUCCUGGGCCAGGCUGGGCGUGGCGUAGAUGGAAGAUGAUAAAGAAGCCAGCUAGAGAGGCAGGAACGCAGCAUGAUGGUGCCAUACCCAGAGGGCGUGCCUGGGCAUCCCCCAGAGGCCUUCAAAGCUGCACUGGAGAGCUUGGCUGAGAGACAAAUGGCAAUGGCACACGGAAGUGUUUUAGGCAAAGAAAUGGCAUGGCUGGAUGUGGCUGGCAAGAUGACUGGAGCUGCAGAUGGAGUCUGUCUCUGUCGGCUAGGCUGGAGUGUAGUGGCAUGAUUUCGGCUCACUGCAACCUCCAUCUCCCAGGUUCAAGUGAUUCUCCUGCCUCAGCCUCCUGAGUAGCUGGGAUUACAGGCAAGUACCACCACCACUGGCUAGUUUUUUGUGUUUUUAGUAGAGAUAGGGGUUCAUCAUGUUGGCCAGGCUGGUCUUGAACUCUUGACCUCAGAUGAUCCACCUGCCUCAGUCUCUCAAAGUGCUGGGAUUACAGGUGUGAGCCAUGGUGCCUGGCCCAUCUGCAUCAUAACUUUUCUUCUUUCUCCUCUUCCUCUCUUCCCCUUCCUCUUCAUCCUCUUCCUCUUCUCCUUUCUCUUCAUCAUCUUCAUCAUCAGUCAUUAUCAUGAUGAUUAUCUUUUCCUCCUCCUCAUCUUCCUCCUCUUCCUCCUCCUCAUCUUUUCCUUCUUUGCCUCCCUCUUUCUGCUCCUCCUCCUCCUCUUCUUCUUCCUCUUCUUCUUCUUCUUCUUCUCCUUCUCCUUCUCCUUCUCCUUCUUCUUCUUAUUCUUCUUCUUCUUCGUCCUCCUCUUUCUCUUCCUCCUCUUCCUCCUCUUCUCCUCCUCCCUUCUUCCUUCUUCUUCCUCCUCUUCUUUUUGGAGAUAGGAUCUCACUCUGUCACCAAGGCUGGAGUACAGUGGUGCAGUCUCAGCUCCCUGUAACUGCUGUCUCCCAGGCUUAAGGGAUUCUCCCACCUCAGCCUCCCAAGUAGCUGGGAGGUGCACACCAUCACAUCUGGCUAACUUUUGUAUUUUUUUGUACAGACAGGGUCUCACCAUGUUGCCCAGGUAGGUCUCAAACUCCUGGCCUCAAGCAGUCCCACCUUGGCCUCCCAAAGUGCUGGGAUUGUAGGUGUGAGUCACCGCACUGGCCUUGUUUUAUUUUCGUUGCAUUUAUUUAGUUACCUGCUAUUUGUGGCAAGCUGGGCUGGUGUUCUGCUUGUAGAGUAUUGUGGGAUGUACUUUUAGGUUGA
This is a long non-coding RNA of Symphalangus syndactylus (siamang), 1929 nucleotides long. RefSeq lists it as uncharacterized. The record is from RefSeq and is a predicted model, not a curated record. Lineage: Eukaryota; Metazoa; Chordata; Mammalia; Primates; Hylobatidae.